GUGAGGAAUAUUGGUCAAUGGACGAGAGUCUGAACCAGCCAAGUCGCGUGAAGGAAGACGGUUCUAUGAAUUGUAAACUUCUUUUGUGCAGGAAUAAAGUGGGUUACGUGUAACCUUUUGUAUGUACUGUACGAAUAAGGAUCGGCUAACUCCGUGCCAGCAGCCGCGGUAAUACGGAGGAUCCGAGCGUUAUCCGGAUUUAUUGGGUUUAAAGGGUGCGUAGGUGGAUUGAUAAGUCAGCGGUGAAAGUUUGCAGCUUAACUGUAAAAUUGCCGUUGAAACGGUCGGUCUUGAGUGCAAAUGAGGUAGGCGGAAUGUGUUGUGUAGCGGUGAAAUGCUUAGAUAUAACACAGAACUCCGAUUGCGAAGGCAGCUUACUGGGAUGCAACUGACACUGAUGCACGAAAGCGUGGGUAUCAAACAGGAUUAGAAACCCGAGUAGUCC
RNAcentral lists this ribosomal RNA (445 nucleotides) under uncultured bacterium. RNAcentral describes it as "partial 16S ribosomal RNA". It matches the Rfam family "Bacterial small subunit ribosomal RNA", at positions 354 to 796 of the family's 1533-position model. The record is from RNAcentral.